This 373-nucleotide ribosomal RNA is filed under the name uncultured organism. RNAcentral describes it as "partial 16S ribosomal RNA". It matches the Rfam family "Bacterial small subunit ribosomal RNA", at positions 527 to 896 of the family's 1533-position model. The record is from RNAcentral.
GUAGGUGGCAAGCGUUGUCCGGAAUUAUUGGGCGUAAAGCGCGCGCAGGCGGUCCUUUAAGUCUGAUGUGAAAGCCCACGGCUCAACCGUGGAGGGUCAUUGGAAACUGGGAGACUUGAGUACAGAAGAGGAAAGCGGAAUUCCAAGUGUAGCGGUGAAAUGCGUAGAGAUUUGGAGGAACACCAGUGGCGAAGGCGGCUUUCUGGUCUGUAACUGACGCUGAGGCGCGAAAGCGUGGGGAGCAAACAGGGAUUAGAUACCCUGGUAGUCCACGCCGUAAACGAUGAGUGCUAAGUGUUAGGGGGUUUCCCGCCCCUUAGUGCUGCAGCUAACGCAUUAAGCACUCCGCCUGGGGAGUACGGCCGCAAGGCUG